RNAcentral lists this long non-coding RNA (9957 nucleotides) under Physcomitrium patens. RNAcentral's name for it is "long non-coding RNA (PPAT_LNC010703)". The record is from RNAcentral. Lineage: Eukaryota; Viridiplantae; Streptophyta; Bryopsida; Funariales; Funariaceae.
UUUUUUUUUAGGGGGCGAAGCCAUGCCAAAUUGCAUCCCCACGUACCCUUGUUUCUAUAGAGCUGCAAUUGCGCAGCUGUAGUGUAUUAGUUAUCUAGAAAUAGAACGUCAAAUUUUACCAAUAGUUAGAUCUUGUCGUUAGCUUCCUCGGGACAGUAGGCACGCUUUGUUUGGAGAGAAAACAAGAAAGUUGUGGUGGUUUUAGUGACAAGGAGGUCAGCUGCCGGCCAGAUCUGGAGGUCCGACUUUGGAAGGCGAGUGUUGGCGGACAGUAUUGAAUUUGGAGCUGAAACUUUUGUGGAGGAUGGUCCUUGUUGUCAGCUUUUCAAGGACUAUUUGCACGCUUAGAUUGAGUAAAGGCCAAGGAAGUUAUGGUGGUUGGAGUGAAGAGGAGUCGGCCGUGGUGAAGAUGUAGCACUCCGCCAACUCAAGCUACUUUGGAAGGUCAUAUCUUGGAAUUCACUCAAGAUUUUCAAGAAAAAAUUAUUGGAGGUGAUGCGGCUUCAAUUCUAGUUUUUGGAAUGCUAAAGCAUAUGCGUUGCACAACUGGAAUGGAGCAAGGGCAAGGGUUUUUGUGGCUAGGGGUGCUCUGACUAGGCCGAGAAAGUCAGGCAACUUUGAGGCAAGUUUUCUCUUAGCUUAAUUGUUGUUUUGCAUUGAAUUUUGUUCGAGGACAAGCGCUUGUAAGUCUACUUUCUAAAAUAACAAAGCUUGUUAUAAACAAGUUAGUGAUGCAACCAUUGUAGUGGAAUUCGUGCAAGGGGGUCGCUACCAUGACUUGGAAGGUGGCGACUUCCAAUUUUCUUUAAUUUUUAGGAUGAAACUUGGAUGAAUUAGGUCAAUUGCACGAAUUGUCAGUUAGAUGAUAAGUUGACUUAUGGUUGGAUGAAUGAAUCUUUAGAUGAAAAUUGGAUGAACAAACUUUGAAUGAAUGAAUGUUAUAAGAUGAAUGAGAUUUAAGGGAUGGAUGAUUGAUGAAGGGAAAUUUAGGAUGAAUGAACUUAGGGUUUAUGGAUGAACUUAGGGUUUUUGGAUGAACUUAGGGUUUCUAGAUGAACUUAGGGUAUCUGGAUGAACUUAGGGUUUUUGGAAGAACUUAGGAUUUAUGGAUGAACUUAGGAUUUAUGAAUGAACUUAGGGUUUAUAAAAAUUAUGUGUGAUUGAAGUUAAUCCAGUUAACUACUAAACGCAAUUAAGGGUGGAGGAAUUUAGCUCACAUAAAUGGUGCGUUUGCCGGGAGCCGAUCUUAGAGACGUUGUCUAAUAAUUUUUUUUUUUUUUUUUUUUUUUUUUGAGUUGAGAUGAUUGAUUACAUGGAGGAAGGAGAUAAUAGGAGCAAGAUGAUGGGGUUGUGAUUGGAAGGAGCACAGCAGAAAGGUAUGUGGGUCUUGGGAAUAUCUAUGGUAGUUUGUACUAGAAACCUUAGCAUGUGAUCGAGAGGUCGGUGGUAUACUAAUUGUGGAGGAAGCUGGAAUUGCAUGAGGUAAGCCAUGAUACAUUGAAUGAUCUAUGUUAACUUAGGAUUAUAAUUCGUCGUUGUCGUUACCUUGUUAGUAGGUAAUGCCUUGGCAGUGAGUUGAAUUGAGAACGAGGGGGGUUCUGGCCGCGAAGGCAGAAUCACAAUGUCUCGUUUACUGACCGGGUAAGCCCCACAAUAUAGAUUGUACCGUAUGCCAAGAUUGGACUAGCGGGCUGGUUUGCCUUGGUGAAUUCCAUGUCAUCGCUCGUAAAUACUAUCUUGGUGGUUUGCGUUCCCUACCCACCUGAGGAUAGGCUAAAUUAUUAAUUAUCAAUUUCAAAAUUUCAAAAAAAAUAAAAAUAAAAAUAAAAAUAAAAUGGGUUGGUAGGUAAUGAGAGAAGGUCAGUGAAGACGUUUAGAUGUUCCCGAAAACUAGAUCUCAAAAACCUACUUUGAACCAAGGACUUGAACGUAUUAGAAGACGUGGAGGCAAGGUCGUGGAUAACAAGGAAGCAGCCCCUUCUCGGAAUACACUCAUUAAUAGUAGAAGCAAUGAAGAAUUUCUUGGAGGAGACAUUAGAAGGAAUUUAGAAAAGGCUUUAUGAGAUGUCGGGGGCAGUGAGCUAUUGGAGGAGUUGAAAGUGGAGGAGUUAGAGAUAGAACACGUAGUCCCUGAAGACGAAGUAUUUGGAGACGUGAACCUUAGGAAAAUAGGAGAACAUGAUAGGACCUUGGACUUUGUGCCUGCGGUCGAAGGAUUUGUUCACGAGAUGGCGACGGAGCGGCUUCCAGCUUUGGAUCCCUUAGUUAAGCCACGAGGUUUGCCCGUGGCUAUGCUAAUAGGGCUAUUAGCGGCCACAGUUCCAGGGAAUCUCUCCAAGUUCUAUGGCACCAAGGACGAGGAUCCAACCCUACACAUGGAGAGGUACAUAGAGAUUUUGACAACAUCCCUCAUUAGGAACGAGGGAUAUUACCUGGUUUGGUUCCCCGGAACCUUACACGGUGAGGCUUACAUUUGGUACCGGGAUCAUGAUGAGGGACAUUUUAACACGUGGUCCUAGUUGCAAGUAGCCUUCUUAAACCACUUUAGGCUGGAGGUUGGACAAAGUACAGCCUUGAGAGCACUGGGAGCGGUACGACAGCAAAGAGACGAGGAAAUGGCUAACUACAUCAGGAGGUUUGACUUGGUCUGCAUGCGUUAUGUAGGAGGAUUGUUGAAUGGCGAUACGUUUAAGCAAUUCUUCAUUGAAGGAUUUGUUAAUCAAUCUACAAUCAAGGGAGUAUUAGAGAGAAACCCAACCACUUUGGAGGAAGCCAAAACAGCGGUGCGCGUUGUAGAUUUAAUCGAGAGAAGUUAUGAAAGGCAUUGGAGGAAGGAAGAUGAGUCUAUCUCGGGGUUUAUUCCAAUUAAUCCCGUAAGCCAAGCGAUAGGACCAAGCACGUCAAAUACACCUUCGAUAGUCGACAAUGGUGCCCAAUAUUACAAUGUUAUGCCCACGGCCACCAGAGCUCCAGUACCCUUAUUGGCGUUACCAGAGCCACAAUUGGAGAGGAGAGUGGAGGACUUGGAGAAGAAAAUACAGGCCGGACAAGAAGAUUUUCAAGACUCCAUGAUGAAGCAGAUCCAAGCCUUGACUGAGCAGAUGGCAUUCAUGGUAAAGAAUCAAAAUUCAAACACCCCACCUCCUCGGAUAGAGUCUGGUAACCAUAACUCGGGGGUUUGGUGCACUAUUUGUGGCCAAAAUGGGCAUUCAUCUCUUCAGUGCCGAGUAAGGCCUCAAAGUAAUCCAAAUCUUCAACCAUACCAGCCAACACAGAGCUAUGGAAGAGAUAGAGGACCUCAACAGUGGCAAGGAGGUUAUCAAGGUGGUCCUCAAGGAUAUGGUAGAAGUGGCAAGCCUCGGAAGGAGUACCAUGAGCUUUGCAGGAGAUGGCAUGAGCCGGGUCAGUGCUGGGAUGAUGGCCAACCAUGGCCGUGUGGCAAUUGUGGUGGCAAUCACCCUACCCAUGAAUGUAGACAACUUGAUAAGGUAAUUCAACUACCACUACGAAUAACAAAUCCUUAUGAGAACGCGCGGAAUAACAUGAGAGAUCAGAGACGACCUCAUGGUGAUGAUUAGAGGGGCCUAAAACCUCCUAAUCUCUACUACAACUAUGAGGAUUUCUAACAAAACCAUCAACCUCCAGAAGGGUUACAAAUCCGCCAAGGUUAUAUCCCAGUUGCCCAAAAUCAACAAGGCAGCUAUCGAAACUAUGCAAACGAGAAACAAGGUCCAUCUUCUAACCAAGAUGUUAGAGUAGCAGAAGAGGUCUUAUUGAAGGGUCCUGCACCAUCUCUAGCAAAGACCACAGUGGUGAUUGAAGAACAUGAAGCACCUUCUAAUUUAGUGACCCACGAAUUGAAGGAAGACGGAGGCGGUGGCCAUGAGAAUGCUACUUUGGCUGUGAUUAUCCGAGGGCAAGCUCAUAGGCAAUCACCAAUCGAUGAAGAAGACUCAGAUGGUAGUGAGUCUGAAAAGUUGUUGGAUUUAGUAGCUCUUGAGGCGGCUGCAAAGGAGGCGGCAAGAAUUACAAGGGAGGUAGGUGCUGCGCUAGGUGAUGAAAGGUCAUCUGAAGGCUUUGAUCCAGGUAAAGGGUUAGAACCGGGUGAAUGGGAGGAUCCAGAUAUUCCAGAGGAGGACUUUGGAGGGUUGGGUCGUACGACGCCAACCUCUUAUCAGAAGUAUGAUCUCUGGAGGGACUUGCGGAGGAUAAAGGCUAACAUCUCAAUUGCUCAACUAUUGGAGAUAUCUCCUUUGAUGAGGAAGAGUUUCAAAGAAGGCUUGCCUAGGGCGAAGAAGAAGAAGAAGACUCAGAAGAGGACAGUGGCUAGGGUACAAGCAUCUAUUAGGCCAGUGGAUGUGAAGGCAGUGGAGAUCGAGGUCACUAUCGUAGACAAGGUGGUUUCAAAUGUGCUCAUUGAUGGAGGUAGUGGGCUUAACAUCAUGCCACUUCAUACCAUGAAGAAGUUGGGGUUGAAUUUAACCGGACCUUCACCAUUUGUAUUAAACAUGACAGAUCAGAGUCCUGCUAGGUCUUUAGGCCAGAUCACGAACUGUAAAAUCUCUACAGGAGGGGAGAAUUACUUAGUGACCUCCCAUGUUAUCAGAAUGCACACUUCCAAAGAAUCUUUUCCACUUCUCUUAGGUCGUCCGUGGUUGAGGAUGGCCAAUGCCACCAUCAUAUGGGGUGGUAAUAAGCUCUCCAUAGUUUACUGUCCAUAUGAAAACCCCACUAAAGUUAGAAUCAAGCCUUUGAUAGGACUCGAGGUGGUUGACACCAUAUCUAUUGGAGAAGGCACACCAUUAAAAUCCGUGGAUGGGAUGACGUUUGAAGCUGAGGUUCAAACCUUGAAGUGUCUUGGUCCAAAUCUCUACCAUUGGUCAGACAAUGGAGAGUAUGCCAAGUGGCUCCAAGACAACCCUGAUUCUUCAUCAGAAUUGAUGGCAGGAUUGAAUCUCAUUGGAAUAGAGUUAGACGAUGGUUUGACACCUUUAAUUGAGGUAGAUGUCCAUUUGAUUGGAAUAGAGGAUGUUGAAGGAGUAGAGGUUUUAGAAGAAAGUGAGCAUUUGGGAGGAUCAUUGAAAUUUAAGACUGGUUCUUCAGGAAUUACGGUUGGAGAAGACGUUUUCAAUUAUUCCAAUGUGCCUUCGGAUUGGUAUCGAGAUAACAAUGAGCAAUCUCACGUUGCUAAGGUAGACUGAAAGUUUGUGACAGUGGAGUUUGAAGGAGAAGAACCAAGACAAAUGAAGAUGGGAAGCCAACUAGAGGAUGAAGAGAUCUAAGCCUACUGUGAGUUGGUAAGAGAGUAUCAGAAGGUCUUUGCAUGGUCUUACAAGGAGUUAAAGGGGAUUCCUCUUGAGAUUGUAGAACAUCAAAUUUCCUUGAUGAUCGGUACAGUGCCGAUCAGGCAAAAAGAGAAGAGAAUGAAUCCUCAGCUUCAAUUGAUUGUGAAAGAGGAACUGGAGAAAUUACUCCAAGCAGGUUUUAUUAAACCUGUUGAGAUCACAGAUUGGGUCUCUCCCAUGGUGCUUGUAAAGAAGAAGAAUGGUAAACUUAGGGUGUGUGUGGAUUAUAGGAAGUUGAAUUUUUGCACCCAAAAAGACCACUUUCUCUUGCCAUUUAUCACUAGCAUCUUGGAAGAAGUGGCAGGUCACGAUUUAUACACAUUUAUGGAUGGAUAUUCUGGAUACAACCAAGUAUCUAUUGCACCUGAAGAUCGAUACAAGACUGCAUUUACAAUACCUUGGGGGACGUUUGUGUGGCAUGUGAUGCCAUUUGGAUUAUGUAACGCCCCUUCUACUUUCCAACGUCUGGUGAUGUCUAUCUUCUCAGACUUGUUAUACAAAUCAAUGACCGUGUUCAUUGAUGAUUUCAGCACCCAAUCUGAUGCAGAUUCUCACAUUCAUUUGGUGAAAGAAAGCUUAGAGAGGUGCAAGAAAGCUCGAAUGGCCCUGAAUCCAGAAAAAACCUAUCUUGCCUUGAUUAGAGGCAUUUUGUUGGGAUAUAUGGUUAGUAAGAGGGGUCGUGAGCCCGAGCCAGAAAAGGUGAAGGUAAUUCAGAAUUUAUCACCUCCUACCAGUGUGAAGGAAGUGCAACGUGUAUUGGGACACACUGGUUGGUAUAGGGAGUUGAUUGAAGAUUACGCCACUAUUACCCUUCCCAUCACUAGCCUUCAGAAGAAAGGCACCAAAUUUAUAUGGACUCAGGCUUGUAAUGAUGCUUUCGAGGUUCUAAAGAAGGAAUUGUCUUCUUAUCCAAUAUUGAGGCCCCCGAGGUGGGACUUGCCUUUCCACAUCUAUUGUGAUGCAAGUGCGGUGGCGGUUGGCAGCAUUCUGUGCCAACUUGUAGAAGGCCCAAGCAAGGGCAAGGAUCAUCCAAUUGCCUACGUUAGUAGGCAAUUAAAUCUUGCAGAGAAAAAUUAUUCCACCACUGAGAGGGAAUGUCUAGCCAUGGUGUUCUCAGCUAAGAAGUUUAGACAUUAUAUGUUGAGCAACAAAGUGGUUUUUUAUGUGGAUUACAUGGCCAUCAAGUAUUUGGUUAACAAACCUGAGUUGAGCGGUCGGCUAGCUAGGUGGGUCUUGUUGCUACAAGAGUUUGAUUACACUGUGGAGUACAAACCUGGAUCCGUACACAAACAAGCAGAUCACAUGUCGAGAUUGCCUGGAGGAAUGGAGACCCACCCGAUUGAUGAUAGAUUGAUAGACGAGAGUCUUUUCUUGGUGACAGCUAGACCGGCAUGGUAUUCUAGGAUUAUUGAGUUCUUGACUACUCAACAAUUGCCAGUGGAUUUAUCUAAGGACGAGAGGCGGAAGAUUCGGGUCAAUAGUCGUCAUUAUGUGGUGUUAGGGAACCGGUUGUAUUGACGUGGAUUGGAUGGAGUGUUAAGACGUUGUGUGAUGGAAGAUGAGGUUCCUUCCAUUUUGUCGGCUUGUCAUGACAGUGCAUGUGGCGGACAUUUUUCUGGCCAAUUGACUGGUCAGAAAAUUCUUAGGGCUGGUUAAUACUGGUCAAUACUCUUCAAAGACGCUCAUACCUAUGUGAGGCGUUGUGAUGCAUGUCAGAGAUUUGUUAGGAAUGACAUUCACAUGUAGUUGCCGCUUCACAUUUUCCUACUAUUGGUGUCAUUCGAGAAGUGGGGCAUCGAUUACGUGGGAGAGAUUCAUCUUCAUUCAUCUCGAGGAAUGACAUAUAUUGUAGUGGCCACUGAAUAUCUCACUAAGUGGGCUGAAGCCAAGGCUGUGAGGACAAAUGAUGCCAAGAAUGCUGCAAUCUUUCUCUUUGAGAAUGUGAUUACUAGAUUUGGAGUCCCAAAGAUCCUUGUGAGUGAUCAAGGUACUCAUUUCCUCAACGAGGUGAUUGAAUCCAUGAUUGAACGAUUCCAGAUUGAUCAUCGGAAGACUACAUCCUAUCACCCUCAAACCAAUGGUCAGACAGAGCGAGUCAACCAAACACUUGGUACUAUAUUGAGGAAAACUGUUAGAGACUCCAAGCGUGAUUGGGAUGUGAAACUGCCAGCCGCCUUAUGGGCAUAUAGAACAACAUUCAAGGUCACCACGCAGGCUACGCCAUUCUCUCUAGUCUAUGGACUGGAAGCAGUUUUACUAAUUGAAUUUGAGGUUCCAUCCCUUCGGAUUGCAGUAGAUUCCAGAUUGACUGACAGACAAUCUUUAAAGACAAGGUUGUACGAGCUCGAGGCGUUGGAUGAGAGCAGAAGACGAAGGGCUCAACACAUUGAGGCCAUCCAGAGGCGGCGCAAGGUCGUAUUUGAUAAACGAAACAAGACUCGGGUCUUGCAACCUGGUAUGCUUGUAUUGUUACAAGAUGCUCGGAAGAUCGACUUUCCAAGCAAGUUUGAUGCCGUAUGGUUGGGUCCUUAUCUUGUCAAGGAGGUGUUUUUAAACAACUCCGUACAAUUGGAGACCUUGAAUGGUCAAUUGUUUCCUACACGAACAUCAGGUAGCAGGUGUAAAGAAUAUAAGACAUGAGGGAGCGCAAUUUUGGGCAAGAGCUCCACCUUUCUAUUAUAUGACAAGGCAAUAGUAUGAACUGGCAUGGUGAAAAUACUUUAAAGGACAAAAAUUGGCAAGUACAAGCUGGAUUCGUCCCCUGAUGGUCGCCAAUUAUGUGAGCCCAAAAGUUGGUUCACUUUGUUGGUUAAACUAAAAAAAUCUAAAAAAAAUGAGGAUUUUGAUUAUGUUUUGUUAUAAUAAGUUAGUUAUAGACAUUAAUGUUAGUGGCUUAUUGAUGAUUAGUAGUGGAAAGAAAAAUCAAGGGAGAAGGGAGUGGUGGGAAAGAUAAGAAAAAGAACCAAAAGAAAAAAAAUAAAAAACAAAACAAAACAAAACAAAAAGGCCAAGAAGAAAGAAGGAAGAAGAUGAAGAGGGACAAGGAGAAGAAGAAAAAAAAGGAGAAGAAAAUAAUUAGAAGUAAAUUUAUUGUGAUGGGUUUGUCAAAUUGUUGGUUCUUAAUGAUCUAGAACUUAGAUUUGGGUGUAUGAAUAGUCAAACUUGAUGUUUAAAUAUGUUUUAAACACAUUGGUGGAGUUAGUUUUGUCAAAAAACGCUUCGAAUUGGAGAUUUUGGGCAUGUCCAGCACUAAAAUCGGGUUUAGGACUUAGGGUUAAUGUGGGCCCUUGAUCUUGAUUAGGGUUGGUGGAUUCGGAUGGUGGAGAUGUGGCCGCCACCCUUUGGUCUCUUCCUACUUGGAUAAGAGGGUGGAGGUGGCCACACUCGCUCUCUCUCUCUCUCUUUUUUUUUUAGGGGGCGAAGCCAUGCCAAAUUGCAUCCCCACGUACCCUUGUUUCUAUAGAGCUGCAAUUGCGCAGCUGUAGUGUAUUAGUUAUCUAGAAAUAGAACGUCAAAUUUUACCAAUAGUUAGAUCUUGUCGUUAGCUUCCUCGGGACAGUAGGCACGCUUUGUUUGGAGAGAAAACAAGAAAGUUGUGGUGGUUUUAGUGACAAGGAGGUCAGCUGCCGGCCAGAUCUGGAGGUCCGACUUUGGAAGGCGAGUGUUGGCGGACAGUAUUGAAUUUGGAGCUGAAACUUUUGUGGGGGAUGGUCCUUGUUGUCAGCUUUUCAAGGACUAUUUGCACGCUUAGAUUGAGUAAAGGCCAAGGAAGUUAUGGUGGUUGGAGUGAAGAGGAGUCGGCCGUGGUGAAGAUGUAGCACUCCGCCAACUCAAGCUACUUUGGAAGGUCAUAUCUUGGAAUUCACUCAAGAUUUUCAAGAAAAAAUUGUUGGAGGUGAUGCGGCUUCAAUUCUAGUUUUUGGAAUGCUAAAGCAUAUGCGUUGCACAACUGGAAUGGAGCAAGGGCAAGGGUUUUUGUGGCUAGGGGUGCUCUGACUAGGCCGAGAAAGUCAGGCAACUUUGAGGCAAGAUUUCUCUUAGCUUAAUUGUUGUUUUGCAUUGAAUUUUGUUCGAGGACAAGCGCUUGUAAGUCUACUUUUUAAAAUAGCAAAGCUUGUUAUAAACAAGUUAGUGAUGCAACCAUUGUAGUGGAAUUCGUGCAAGGGGGUCGCUACCAUGACUUGGAAGGUGGCGACUUCCAAUUUUCUUUAAUUUUUAGGAUGAAUCUUGGAUGAAUUAGGUCAAUUGCACGAAUUGUCAGUUGGAUGAUAAGUUGACUUAUGGUUGGAUGAAUGAAUCUUUAGAUGAAAAUUGGAUGAACAAACUUUGAAUGAAUGAAUGUUAUAAGAUGAAUGAAAUUUAAGGGAUGGAUGAUUGAUGAAGGGAAAUUUAGGAUGAAUGAACUUAGGGUUUAUGGAUGAACUUAGGGUUUCUAGAUGAACUUAGGGUUUCUAGAUGAACUUAGGGUUUCUGGAUGAAUUUAGGGUUUCUAGAUGAACUUAGGGUUUCUAGAUGAAUUUAGGGUUUAUGGAUGAACUUAGGAUUUAUGGAUGAACUUAGGGUUUAUGAAUGAACUUAGGGUUUAUAAAAAUUACGUGUGACUGAAGUUAAU